AGGCUAUAACUCUAGGAAACUCACCGGAAACCUUGCACCUACUUUUCUUUCUUUUUCUCUUGGAAGGAUAUAGACUUCCUUCUCACGCAUAAGACUUCUCAUGUCCCAAAAUUUUUCUCCAAAAAUCUUCUUCUUACAUGCCCCACUCUUCUCUUCCUUUUAUAACAACGUCAAACGUCUUAUCCAAAAGAAAGGAUAAAGAUGAGUAAUUGCACAUUUGAAUUCAAAUCAAAUUUUGAAUUCAAAUGGACACCAACUCAUCCCUUAUCCACUAAAGGCAUGAGGCAUGGCUUAAAUUGUGCAUGG
This 306-nucleotide long non-coding RNA is filed under the name Elaeis guineensis (African oil palm). Its description in RNAcentral is "long non-coding RNA (EGUI_LNC057326)". Lineage: Eukaryota; Viridiplantae; Streptophyta; Magnoliopsida; Arecales; Arecaceae. The record is from RNAcentral.